This 113-nucleotide transfer RNA is filed under the name Scleropages formosus (Asian bonytongue). It matches the Rfam family "tRNA". Rfam says of the family: Transfer RNA (tRNA) molecules are approximately 80 nucleotides in length. The record is from Rfam by way of RNAcentral. Lineage: Eukaryota; Metazoa; Chordata; Actinopteri; Osteoglossiformes; Osteoglossidae.
GUCAGGAUGGCUGAGCAGUCUAAGGCACCAGACUCAAAACUAAUGACCUUCUCCUGUCUCGUGAGUGUUCCGGUCUCCAAAUGGAGGUGUGGGUUUGAAUCCCACUUCUGACA